CCUACGGGAGGCAGCAGUUUUUAAUAUUGCGCCAUGGGCGAAAGCCUGACGCAGCGACGCCGCGUGAGGGAUGAAGGUCUUCGGAUCGUAAACCUCUGUUGCGGGGGAAAAAAGGCAGCAUCAGGAAAUGGGUGCUGACUGAUGGUGCCCCGCCAGAAAGUCACGGCUAACUACGUGCCAGCAGCCGCGGUAAUACGUAGGUGGCGAGCGUUAUCCGGAAUGAUUGGGCGUAAAGGGUGCGCAGGCGGUCCUGCAAGUCUGGAGUGAAACGCAUGAGCUCAACUCAUGCAUGGCUUUGGAAACUGGAGGACUGGAGAGCAGGAGAGGGCGGUGGAACUCCAUGUGUAGCGGUAAAAUGCGUAGAUAUAUGGAAGAACACCAGUGGCGAAGGCGGCCGCCUGGCCUGUUGCUGACGCUGAGGCACGAAAGCGUGGGGAGCAAAUAGGAUUAGAUACCCGAGUAGUC
Molecule: ribosomal RNA, 465 nt
Filed under: uncultured bacterium
Lineage: Bacteria
Description: partial 16S ribosomal RNA
Rfam family: Bacterial small subunit ribosomal RNA
Source: RNAcentral